RNAcentral lists this ribosomal RNA (465 nucleotides) under uncultured bacterium. RNAcentral's name for it is "partial 16S ribosomal RNA". It matches the Rfam family "Bacterial small subunit ribosomal RNA", at positions 338 to 795 of the family's 1533-position model. The record is from RNAcentral.
CCUACGGGAGGCAGCAGUAGGGAAUCUUCCACAAUGGGCGAAAGCCUGAUGGAGCAACGCCGCGUGGGUGAAGAAGGUCUUCGGAUCGUAAAACCCUGUUGUUAGAGAAGAAAGUGCGUGAGAGUAACUGUUCACGUUUCGACGGUAUCUAACCAGAAAGCCACGGCUAACUACGUGCCAGCAGCCUCGGUAAUACGUAGGUGGCAAGCGUUAUCCGGAUUUAUUGGGCGUAAAGGGAACGCAGGCGGUCUUUUAAGUCUGAUGUGAAAGCCUUCGGCUUAACCGGAGUAGUGCAUUGGAAACUGGGAGACUAGAGUGCGGAAGAGGAAGGUGGAACUCCAGGUGUAGCGGUGAAAUGCGUAGAUAUAAGUAAGAAGACCAGUGGCGAAAGCGGCUCUCUGGUCUGUAACUGACGCUGAGGUUCGAAAGCGUGGGUAGCAAACAGGAUUAGAUACCCCGGUAGUC